Molecule: ribosomal RNA, 449 nt
Filed under: uncultured bacterium
Lineage: Bacteria
Description: bacterial SSU rRNA
Rfam family: Bacterial small subunit ribosomal RNA
Source: RNAcentral
GCCAGACUCCUACGGGAGGCAGCAGUGGGGAAUAUUGGACAAUGGGGGGAACCCUGAUCCAGCGACGCCGCGUGAGUGAAGAAGUAUUUCGGUAUGUAAAGCUCUAUCAGCAGGGAAGAAAGAAAUGACGGUACCUGACUAAGAAGCCCCGGCUAACUACGUGCCAGCAGCCGCGGUAAUACGUAGGGGGCAAGCGUUAUCCGGAUUUACUGGGUGUAAAGGGAGCGUAGGCGGUUCAGCAAGUCAGAAGUGAAAGCCCGGGGCUCAACUCCGGGACUGCUUUUGAAACUGUUGAACUAGAUUGCAGGAGAGGUAAGUGGAAUUCCUAGUGUAGCGGUGAAAUGCGUAGAUAUUAGGAUGAACACCAGUGGCGAAGGCGGCUUACUGGACUGUAAAUGACGCUGAGGCUCGAAAGCGUGGGGAGCAAACAGGAUUAGAUACCCCGGUAA